GCGAAAGGUCUCGAAAACGAUGCUUUUCUCUGCGGUCGAACAGGUUACGGUUUACAGAAAACCAAGGGCGGCUGCUGUCCCCGCGAGGGGCGUAAAAAAGCCAUGGCGGUCUGCGGCGGUUUUUCUUCAGGGCUCUGUGGUUUUGGCGCGUGAUGCUUUUAGCCGGUUAGGAAAUGUAAUGCCCCAAAAGCAAACUUCUGAUUGGUGCCGGGGCGCUUUUUUCUAAAAGCGAGUCUAAACACGGGCCUCGUCACCGCAGCGCCUUUCGCAGUUCAGAUUUGGGGUGGGGCGCUUAAGAGGUAAUUCCGCCAAAAGAUAUACGAAUCUAAGCGCUUAAAAAUGAAACUGGGCUAGCCAAAGCGAUCUGAGGGUGCUCUUUUUAUUGUUUGGUCAUUUGUUUAUUCUACAGGAAAAUAAGUUUGUGUGUGUUGGCUUGUUCGUGAUGAAAUACCGCGUGGAAAAAGAAGAGAAGCGGGGGCCUGGUUCCCCAACCCCGGAUGCUGUCACUUUGGCGGGCCGUCUCAACGAGUGGCUCAUGGCCUCUGGAAUCCCAUGUGGGGCGCCAGACGAGGUGGCGCCGCCCAGGCCUGGCAGCGCCCCCAUUUUGCCUUGUCACCGCUUUCGCGGGCUCUCCUCCAACGUGCGGUUGUGUCGGGGGGGGGCGGGACCAGGCCAGCCGGCGCGCUGCACAGAUCAGCUGAGCCCCCUUAUUCCCUCCCAAUUGCUGUUACAUGAACUCCGGAUGUUUUUGUUUUACAGUAAUCCAGCGAGAUGUUCGCGGCGUGCGGACGAGAGGAUGCCCGCACCCGAUCGCAAAGGGAAGCUAUGGUGUGCUAUGUGCUGUUAGCGCGCUGCCGCUGCUUUCAGGUAGGGUAGGUUGCGAUCGUCAUCUGUGGGCGAGAGCUGUGUGAGGGGAAGCGGUGGGCCUAUCUCGAUGUUUUGUUUCGUGUUCGCAUUCAAGGCGAGGUGUCGUGUAGCAGCUUGGUUUACCAGACGGCGUGUGUGUCCUUCUUGAUCACUCAUUCAUAUCUCUUUGUGCAAGCGACGAAAUCAGUGUAAAGCUUGAUGCUCUAAGGUGUUUUUCCGCGCUGAACACCUAGUGGUUUCCGGCUUUCUGUGUGACAGGUUCUGCUUUGUAUCCGCGAAAGGCCUUAUUAGAGCAAGAUGCAGGCGCUUGCUUGAGUGUGCGCGAUGAUCUACUGACGCCUUUCGUUUUUGGCGAAGCUGUGCGUGAUCUUGAGGGCAGGAGUGUCCACCACAUUAAAAAAGCUGAGACUGUGGCCACUAUGCCGUGCCGCCGCCAGAUUACUUGGUUUCUUGUCCGCUUCGGGCGAAGCUCAUCCCAGCUAACUUCAGGGUCUCCGCAUAGACUUCGAAUGGGGCAAAGGACGCCGAAGGUCAUUUGCCUUUCAAGAGCGCGAACUUUGUGCAGAACCCGAAAGCGGUGAAAAGGAAAAACUCUACCCCCUGCCGCUUGGAGUUGCGGGGCAAAAGAUUGCGGUCGUGGAAGGGUGGCCUGAGGCUCGGAAUAAAACCUGAUAGUGGCAGCUUCUCUUUCUAAUGCAAGAGACUGGGGUGGGCUGCACCUCGGCGCUCUUCGCGGUGGAGGGCUGGGCCAACGGCCACCAGUUUUUGAAAAUGUAGGUAUCUGCGUAUCCGCGCUCUGCGGUCUGUCCACGACGUUGAGAAAUGAGGGGCACACGAAUUUCAUGAAUCAAAGUGAAGCUGUGAAUGUGAAAUGCGGCCCUGAGUCAACGAGGAAACGGCGGAGGGUGGGCAAGGGAGUCUCGACAAGACACGCGCAUAGAGAGUCCCCUUUGAAGCGAAACCUAUUAAGACAUGACCUAAGCUCGACCCUUCUCCACAGGCGAGUUUACGUGAACAUCGACAGCCACAGCUGAGAGAAGGCGAGGCCACCUUUGCUCCUUCUAUAAGGUGUCCAGCAUAAUGUGUGCGCAGAGCAACUGAAAAUACGUGACACGCAUCGGGGAGCGUCUCCCAUGACCGCCAGGUAUCCGAGCAUAAUUUUCUUUUCCGUGGUACAGGCUUUUCGAAUACUAUCCGUCUGCAUUUCUCAUCUGGACACUUGCGCGCAAUGCGCAAUGAGCAAAAUACCUGCUGCGAAG
Molecule: unclassified non-coding RNA, 2126 nt
Filed under: Leishmania donovani
Lineage: Eukaryota; Euglenozoa; Kinetoplastea; Trypanosomatida; Trypanosomatidae
Description: gene:unknown
Source: RNAcentral